RNAcentral lists this long non-coding RNA (265 nucleotides) under Elaeis guineensis (African oil palm). Its description in RNAcentral is "long non-coding RNA (EGUI_LNC022091)". The record is from RNAcentral. Lineage: Eukaryota; Viridiplantae; Streptophyta; Magnoliopsida; Arecales; Arecaceae.
ACCCCCUCCCUCUCAUUUCCAUACUAAUUCUUCAUAGAAACUCUGCGAGAAAAAUAUUUGGGCAUGCGCCAUCUUUGGAUAAAGCUUGUAAGCGCCACCUUAUCCUCUCUCUCAUUUAAAUUUGAACUCCUUCAAAUUCAAAUAGGGGCUAGCCCUAAUCCUCAUCCACAUGCGGAUAAGUCUCCUUUAAAAUCAAAUGGAGCUUUAUCCUCAUCUUAAUUUGAACUCAAAAUUAAAUGGGGAUGAAGCCCUUAUCCUCUCACCC